This 472-nucleotide ribosomal RNA is filed under the name uncultured bacterium. RNAcentral describes it as "bacterial SSU rRNA". It matches the Rfam family "Bacterial small subunit ribosomal RNA", at positions 434 to 916 of the family's 1533-position model. The record is from RNAcentral.
UCAGAGGGGACGAAGGCGCAAGCUGACGGUACCUCCAGAGGAAACCCCGGCCAAAUACGUGCCAGCAGCCGCGGUAAUACGUAGGGUGCGAGCGUUAAUCUGAAUUACUGGGCGUAAAGCGUGCGCAGGCGGUUCUGCAAGUCAGAUGUGAAAUCCCCGGGCUCAACCUGGGAACUGCGUUUGUGACUGUAUAGCUGGAGUAUGGCAGAGGGGGGUGGAAUUCCACGUGUAGCACUGAAAUGCGUAGAGAUGUGUGAGGAACACCGAUGGCGAAGGCAACCCCCUGGGCCAAUACUGACGCUCAUGCACGAAAGCGUGGGGAGCAAACAAGAUUAGAUACCCUGGUAGUCCACGCCCUAAACGAUGCGNACUAGGUGUUGGGGAAGGAGACUUUCUUAGUACCGCAGCUAACGCGUGAAGUUCGCCGCCUGGGGAGUACGGUCGCAAGAUUAAAACUCAAAGGAAUUGACGG